CAUUGAUAGGAACAUAAUACACAUAAUUAAAUCUUCAGGGGAUACCUCCAAGCAUAUGAACAGAGGUGUCUCUCAAAGAUGAUAAUACUAUAAAAAGAAAACAAGGAAAAGAAAAGACACACUUUAAUACGUAUAGAUUAAUUAAUCUGUUGAUCUCAGCUGAAGGCAUUAAAACCUUGAUUUCUCAGGCUUUGUAACAGACCUCC
RNAcentral lists this unclassified non-coding RNA (206 nucleotides) under Hevea brasiliensis (rubber tree). Lineage: Eukaryota; Viridiplantae; Streptophyta; Magnoliopsida; Malpighiales; Euphorbiaceae. The record is from RNAcentral.